AUUGAACGCUGGCGGCAUGCUUUACACAUGCAAGUCGAACGGCAGCGCGGGCUUCGGCCUGGCGGCGAGUGGCGAACGGGUGAGUAAUACAUCGGAACGUGCCCAGCAGUGGGGGAUAGCUCGGCGAAAGCCGGAUUAAUACCGCAUACGACCUGAGGGUGAAAGCGGGGGAUCUUCGGACCUCGCGCUAUUGGAGCGGCCGAUGGCAGAUUAGCUAGUUGGUGGGGUAAAGGCCUACCAAGGCGACGAUCUGUAGCUGGUCUGAGAGGACGACCAGCCACACUGGGACUGAGACACGGCCAAGACUCCUACGGGAGGCAGCAGUGGGGAAUUUUGGACAAUGGGCGAAAGCCUGAUCCAGCAAUGCCGCGUGUGUGAUGAAGGCCUUCGGGUUGUAAAGCACUUUUGGCGGGAACGAAAAGGACUGUGCCAAUACCACGGUUCGAUGACGGUACCCGCAGAAUAAGCACCGGCUAACUACGUG
This 484-nucleotide ribosomal RNA is filed under the name uncultured bacterium. RNAcentral's name for it is "partial 16S ribosomal RNA". It matches the Rfam family "Bacterial small subunit ribosomal RNA", at positions 29 to 507 of the family's 1533-position model. The record is from RNAcentral.